RNAcentral lists this long non-coding RNA (3105 nucleotides) under Sus scrofa (pig). RNAcentral describes it as "lncRNA (ENSSSCG00060058826.1)". The record is from RNAcentral. Lineage: Eukaryota; Metazoa; Chordata; Mammalia; Artiodactyla; Suidae.
AACCCAGAGGUACCAUGAUAUUCCUCUCUUCUCUUCUUUUAAUUCUAUGGGCUUAAUGUUAGAUUCGCAAUCAUUCUUUUUUUUUUUUUUUUUUUUGAAGCUCAGAAAUCGAUUCCCUAACUCGUUGCUAAAAUUCAUUUUCAAAUGUAACUAAAACUUUCUGUGACCACAGACCCCACACCUGCCCAAAACGUAAUGGACGUGAAGGAGCCGCCGUUGCCCACAGGCAGCAGCACAUCCACUGUGCGUGUUGUAGCAGCUGCUCAUCCCAGAGUGGUCCCCCCACCCCUUGGGAGCCUCUCAGCCCUUCAUUCAGAGCGUUGAGCACCUACCAUGCACUGGCCUUGACCCUGGAUCCCGUCUCCAUCUCAAAGCACCUGCAGUCCACUUCAGGGGACAGCAGUAAAGAAACAACUGCAUUAGGUUUUUGUUUGUUUUGUUUUGUCUUUUUAGGGCCGCCGCCAUGGCAUAUGGAGCUUCCCAGGCUAGGGGUUGAAUCACAGUUGUAGCUGCCAGCCUACACCCCAGCCAUAGUCACGCCAGAUCUAAGCCACAUCUGUGACCUACCCCACAGCCCAUGGCAACGCCAGAUCCUUAACCCAUUGAGCGAGGCCAGGAAUCCAACCUGCGUCCUCACGGGUACUAGUGAGAUUCACUUCCGCUGAGCCACGACGGGAACUCCAUGCAGUAGUUAGUAUUUUUAAAAACACGGGAGGGUGGGAGGGAUGGACUGGGGGUUGGGAAUUGGCCUGUGCACACUGAGGUGUAUGGAAUGACCGACCCACAGGGACCUUCUGUGAUCAUCUGUGGAAAGAGGACCUGAUAGAGAAUGGAUGUGUGUACGGAUAUAACUGCAUCACGUUGUCGUACAGCAGAAAUGAUCGCAACCCUGUACCAGCAACUUCAAUAAAACUUAAAAAAUAGGGAGUUCCCAUUGUGGCGCAGUGGUUAACGAAUCCGACUAGGAACCAUGAGGUUGUGGGUUCGAUCCCUGGCUUCGCUCCGUGGGUGAAGGAUCCGGCAUUGCCAUGAGCUGGGGUGUAGACCAGCAGCAACAGCUCCAAUGAGACCCCUAGCCUGGGAACCUCCAUAUGCCGUGGGUGUGGCCCUAAAAAGACAAAAAAUAAAUAAAGUUAAGAUUUGAAUGGUGAAAAGGCGCUGGUCGUGUAAAGGUGGAGCCAGGCAGGAAAAUGGUUGGUGCAAAGGUCCUGAGGCAGAAAAGACGUUGGUGGGCUUGUGGAAUCGAGCGCAGAGCCGGAGUUGGAGAGGCAGGCUGUUUGGAAGGAUGAGGAGGUCACCAGUCCUGUGGGCAGGGUGGAAAGGAAGGAGGGGUGUGGCUGUGCAGGCAAAGGUUUGGAACAAGGCUUGUUGGCGAAUGUGCCUGUGACUCGGUGAGCCCUGAAUAUUGUCCUCUGUGGGAAGAGCAGGAAAAGCAGGCUGGGAGGCCCAGGAGGAGCCAGCUUGUGACAGGCCUCGCGUAGCAGGCAGAGGGAUUUGGGUCUCCUCCAGUAGACGACAGGCAGCCAAAACAGACGGGAAUUUUUGUGUCUCUAGUGAGAAAUAUUUUUUUCUGAUAACCAAAGUAACUCUAUCUGGGGAAAUUCUGGAAAAUGUACACGAGGACACUGAAGAAAAAAAUCUGUAAGCACACAUUCCAACCAUCGUUGCCAUAUCUGUAUCUUCUUUUGCAUGUAGAUACCAUUUUCCAAAAAUGAGAGUGCUUUCAUAGAAGCUAUUUUAUAGUUGCUAUUUCUGGUUUUGUUUUCUUUUUUGUCUUGUUUGUUUGUUUGUUUGUUUUGUCUUUUCAGGGCUGCACCUGCAGCAUAGGGAAGUUCCCAGGCUAAGGGUCAAAUGGGAGCUGCAGCUGCCGGCCUACACCACAGCCACAGCAACGUGGGAUCCGAGCUGCGUCUGCAGCCCACACCACAGCUCACGGCAACGCCGGAUCCCCGACUCACAGAACGAGGCCAGGGAUUGAACCCAUAUCCUUAUGGAUCCUAGUCGGAUUCGUUUCCGCUGCACCACAGUGGGAAAACUCUAGCUGCUAUUUCACUUAACCAUGCAGAGCAAAUAUUCUGAAAAUGUCUUCCUAAGUAUUCUUUUCCAGCACAGCUUUGCAUCCCUGCGUGGUAUUUCAUGCUAAAAAUGAACUAAAAUUUAUUUAUAUGGUUUCACUGUCAGCCCUUAUGGUUGCACAUCUAAACUGUUUCCAGGUUUCAGUAUUAUGAGCAGUGCUGCAGUUAUGGUCCUUAGAGGGAUAUAUUUACUUCUACCCAUGAUUGUUUCCUUAGGAGUUCCUAGAAAUGGAAUUGUGGGGUCAAAGGGCAGGUUUUUUCAAGGCUUUUUCUGUCUGUUUCUAGGUUAGCUUUUUAAGCUGUGUCAUUUUACGCUUCCACUAGCCAAGUAUAAGUGUGCCUGUGCACCCAGUCACUCAGUCAGCACUGGAUUUCAUUUGUCUAUUUGAUAAAGAAAAAACUUUGUACAUCCACUGUUUUAUCUACAUUUUUUUUUGGCCACACCCAUGACAUGCAAAAAUUCCUGGCCCAAGGGAUUGGACCCAAGCUGCAGCAAUGACUUGAGCCACAGCAGUGAUCAUGCUAGAUCCUUAACCCACUAGGCCACCAGGGAACUCCUUGUCUACAUUUUUUUAUGAAAUUGAACACUUUCUCCCAUGGGUCCAGUUGUCAUCUGUACGUAUACUGUAAAUUGUUCAUCUCCUUUGCUUUGUCUCUUUUUAUCUUUUCACGCCUUCAUCAUCUGGUUACUAGUUUGCAAGAGCUCUUUAUGUGUUAGGAUUAUUAACCCUCAUACUGUGCAAAUAUUUUCCCAAUCUGUCUUUUUUCAUUGUAUAACCUUUUUUGCCAGAAGUUUCGCAUUGCUCUGUGUUCAGAGCUGCUUUUUCCUCUAGCCUUUGCAUGAAUGCUUUAAAAAGUCUUGCCCAUCCAAAGAUGAGAUAAAGACUCACUAUGGGAGUUCUCUUGCAGCUCAGUAGGUCCAGGAUCUAGCAUUGUCACUGCAGCGACAUGAGUCACAGCUGAGGUGCAGGUUCGAUCCCUAGUCAGGGAAUUUCUAUAUACCACAGGUGCAGCCAAAAAAAAAAAAAAA